Molecule: ribosomal RNA, 497 nt
Filed under: uncultured bacterium
Lineage: Bacteria
Description: partial 16S ribosomal RNA
Rfam family: Bacterial small subunit ribosomal RNA
Source: RNAcentral
GAUGAACGCUGGCGGCGUGCCUAAUACAUGCAAGUCGAGCGAACGGACGAGAAGCUUGCUUCUCUGAUGUUAGCGGCGGACGGGUGAGUAACACGUGGAUAACCUACCUAUAAGACUGGGAUAACUUCGGGAAACCGGAGCUAAUACCGGAUGAUAUUUUGAACCGCAUGGUUCAAAAGUGAAAGACGGUCUUGCUGUCACUUAUAGAUGGAUCCGCGCUGCAUUAGCUAGUUGGUAAGGUAACGGCUUACCAAGGCAACGAUGCAUAGCCGACCUGAGAGGGGGAUCGGCCACACUGGAACUGGGACACGGUCCAGACUCCUACGGGAGGCAGCAGUAGGGAAUCUUCCGCAAUGGGCGAAAGCCUGACGGAGCAACGCCGCGUGAGGGAUGAAGGUCUUCGGAUCGGAAAACUCUGUUAUUAGGGAAGAACAUAUGUGUAAGUAACUGUGCACAUCUUGACGGUACCUAAUCAGAAAGCCACGGCUAACUACGUG